RNAcentral lists this ribosomal RNA (117 nucleotides) under Ignavibacteria bacterium. The record is from RNAcentral. Lineage: Bacteria; Pseudomonadati; Ignavibacteriota; Ignavibacteria.
UUUGGUGACGAAGAAGUAGGGGGUACACCUGUUCCCAUGCCGAACACAGCAGUUAAGCCCUACGUUGCAGAAGAUACUUGAACGUAACAGUUUCGGGAAAAUAUGGAGUCGCCAAAU